GAGUAGCUGGGACUGCAGGCGCCCGCCACCAUGCCUGGCUAAUUUUUUGUAUGUUUAGUAGAGACGGGGUUUCACCGUGUUAGCCAGGAUGGUCUCUAUCUCCUGACCUUGUGAUCUGCCUGCCUCGGCCUCCCGAAGUGCCGGGAUUACAAGCGUGAGCCACCAUUCCCGGCCCAAAGAGGAGAAGAAGUAUGAAGUGCUUGCUUGGACCUUUCUACUGUGCUUAUUAUUCUGUCUUCUCCUCAUGGCAAAUUUCUUUUUUAUUUUCAUUUAUUAAAUACAGAAGAAAUAUUUCGCUGAAGACACAGGAAACCCUAUUUUGUAUAAACGAGGGAUUGCAAGAGAUUGUUGGAAGAUCAAAGAUGGGUGAAUUGGAGCUCUUCCUGAGAACAAAAAGGAUUUAUGAAGGAAAAAGCAGCUAAUCAAAGAAGUUCUGAGUUUAAAUUCUGUUUUGUCCACUUACUAGCCAUUUGGCCUUGGGCAAGUCACUUUACUGGACCUCAGUUUCCUUGUAUGUGAAAGGUUUUGGUAAAAAUCAUAUUAGUUAAAGAAUGUAAAGAGUUUUAUAAAUUACAAAGUGAUUAAAAAAAGUAAAAUGUAUUGUUGUUUAGGAACAAUGAAAAAAAAAGAAACCUUGACAUUUUUUCUUCAAGUUCUUGCCUAAAAUGUUUAUUUGUUUGGCCCUUUUUAGAUUUAACAAAUUCUAUGUGUCUAAAUAUCAGUGUAGACCCCUUCUUACCCUACUGGAUUUAUAAGGUACUAAAAGUAGAUAUGCAUCUCUUCUGUCUUGGUUCGCUCUAAAAUGGGAUGUUUGCAAACCUCUUGGUUUUUCUUUUUUAAUAUGGAUGAAGCUUAUAUUAAUUUUUGGCUUGGUAUUAAAUUUUGUUUGGAAUAUUAUUAA
RNAcentral lists this long non-coding RNA (901 nucleotides) under Homo sapiens (human). RNAcentral describes it as "novel transcript". The record is from RNAcentral. Lineage: Eukaryota; Metazoa; Chordata; Mammalia; Primates; Hominidae.